CACACUAAUCUCAUCUAUAGAUUCAAGAAAUUAAGCUUAACCAAAGUUGGAGAGAAAAAAAAAACAUAUCACAAGUAGAAUUUGAGAAACAGUAUUUUAAAUAUUUAUCAAACGGUUAAUCCUAAACAUCUAAAUACUGUUUAGGAGUAUUAAUUAAAUCUUGCCCAAGACUAUUUUCGGAAAAUUUGUUGACUUAAAUCUGUAAGCAGAAUAUCAAAUAAUAUAAAGAAUUGACAGCGGCGUAAUCAGGGAAAUCAUAGUUUAGGUCCUAAACUUUAGGAGUAUCAAAAGAUUUAAUUGUCAUGAUUAAUAUCAAUAAUUUGUUUUUCAAAAGUAUGAAUUGAAAUAAAUACAAACACCUUUUGAACAAAAAAGAAAAGAAAAGAAUAAUAAAUACAUACACCUUGCCCAAGAAAGUAACGCACCAGUCGUUGUUAAUGUUAAUUAAACCAUGCCGUAAUACAGAAGUCGUCGAAGACUAUUUUCCGUAAUUUAUUAUUCAGCUACCGAGAUCCAUCUUAUUUUAUUAAUUUAAAAUAAAAGGAAAUAAUUUAAAAUGGUGGAUAUUUAAACGAAGGAGUCUCCCGAAUAGUUAUUUUUUUGAAAAGUAUUUCCUCUUUUGGUUUAGUUUUUUCACUCUCUUCCCUCCGACGGGACUUUCUUCUUCGAGAGGAUGGAAGCGAUUUCUGGUUCCGUUAGAAAGCUUAUUUUUUUACUAUUUUUUCACACAUAUAUAAUGUCUCAGUUAGAUCUAGGGCAACCUCUCCUUCAUUUUUCAAUUGACGGCAAAGAACCAGCAUCCCUCCAGGAACUUCCUGUGUUGAUUAUCCUUGCUCUUAGAUUUAACGGAACGAGAUUCUGGUAACAGGUUUCAUGGCAA
This is a long non-coding RNA of Arabidopsis lyrata subsp. lyrata, 880 nucleotides long. RefSeq lists it as uncharacterized. NCBI's taxonomy places the organism in Eukaryota, Viridiplantae, Streptophyta, Magnoliopsida, Brassicales, Brassicaceae. The transcript has 3 exons. The record is from RefSeq and is a predicted model, not a curated record.